AACAUUGUAAAUGAAUAUGGGAUCCAUCGAUUCACCAAAGCCGACCACCCCAUUUCUGCAAUUUCCUUUCUCCGCGCCGAUCACGAGAUAUCCAUUUCACCCCCACCGGCGAUUCGCCCUACCAGCCACAGCCGCGAUCUGCCACCUUCCACCGCGAUUCGCCGCUCCCCUUUCCCCUCCACCGCUUUCUGCCCCGUCACCAAGUCGCCGUCAGAGAUCUGCGCAUUCCACCUCCAUUUCCCUCACCGGCCCCAGCCUCAAAUUAUAAACACCAUGGACUCGCCGCCGUCAAAUUGCUGAUCCAAGCAUAGUCUACGCCUUAAUGACUAUUGCUUCGCGAUUCAACCAUGGCUUCUCGCCGCGUCGGGUUGAAAGCUCAAAAUUGCACUUCUCCCACCACGAUUCGCCCCGCCAGCCUCCGCCGUUAUCUGCCACCUCCCUUUCUCCCUCCCCCACCGCGAUUCGCAGCGUCGGCCCUGCAUCGAUCUACCCAAGGUAAGUUUUUCUCCUCCAUGGUAAGUUUUCUAUUAGGAAAGAUUACAAUAGUAAAUAUAGAAUGAUUUCUCUACUUUAGAAAGAAGUUUUUUUUGGAAAGAUUAAAAAGUAUAUACAAGGUAAAUGUUUAACAAUAGAAAUUUUAAAACCUAGAUUUUUAGUUAUAAAUUUAUUAGUUCACUAACAAUUCUGCUGCAUCCACUCAAUCGCCCGCCUCCACCAUUUUCCUUGACAGACUCGGUCGGCUGUCAAUUCUGCACCCCGUAUCUGAUCUAAGAGUUUUCCGGAACAAGCGUUUGAUUGAGGCAUUGCUCUUCAUUUCGUGCCUAUGGAUUAUGGAAGUCAGAUAUAUUGAUUUUUAAGUUGAUUCGGUUUAAUUUUAAUGCGUAUCUAUGCAUUUCAUUUCGUGCCUAUGGAUUAUAGAAGUCAGAUAUAUUGAUUUUUAAGUUGAUUCGGUUUAAUUUUGAUGCGUAUCUAUGCAUUUAGAAUCCUGCUUCGGUUUGUGUUUAUUUCUGUUUUGGUGGUAUUGUUGUAUUGGUUGAUGUCCAUUUACUAUCCUGCUUCGGGUUGUUUCUCUUUUGAAUUUAUGAAUUUUCUGUUUCCGCUAAUUUGUGAUCAUGUUUGAAAAAAUGGUUGCUUUACCUGUAACGUGUGUUUUUGUGUUUCUUGAUUAUCAAAAUAUGCCUUUUUUUGCUGCUUGAAUUGUUGCCGUAUAGUGUAGCCGUGACUUAGGCCUUUUGACUGAUUGUUCAGCUCUCUCAGCCAUGGUUUCUGUUACCUACAUUAUCUCGAUAAUGACCUCUUCUUCCUCUUCGUAGAAGAAGAGGUGAACAUAUAUAUAUAUAUAUAUAUACAUAUAUACUGGUAAAUAAUAUUGAAUCAAUGAUUGCAACGCAUACAUAAUAUACAACAUUAUAUUAAAUAAUAUUGCACACGGGUUCAUUACUCAUGCAUUCUUUUGAACAGAUACUUACGAGAUGCCAAGGAACUCCUUUUUUAAUGUCAUUAACGGUUUUACUGAUUUGCAAUGAUUGAGUAUAUGAUACUGAUAGAAGUGAGGUAGAAAGCAUGAGGGCAACCGAGAUGGAGGCUGCCGCCAUUAUGUUUUACUAUUAAUCUCUUCCUCUAAUUUAGUUUUGAAACUUGAAAGCCGUUAUGACAGGAUGAGUUGGGUAUCAUUUAUAUCCAGUCUUGCUAAUGCCUAGCUCAAAGCAUAUUAAAUAUCUCACUGUGAUGUUUUUCUGAAUGCUCCUGCAUCAUCUGGGUGUUAAUCUUUUAUUUUGUAUUACUUUCUACCUCCAGUUGGGCUGUGUUAGUAUAUUGUGGAAAUUAGAAGCAUCAAAAUUUGACGGAGUACUUGGGAGAAGGAUGCAU
This 1869-nucleotide long non-coding RNA is filed under the name Salvia miltiorrhiza (redroot sage). RNAcentral's name for it is "long non-coding RNA (SMIL_LNC007004)". Lineage: Eukaryota; Viridiplantae; Streptophyta; Magnoliopsida; Lamiales; Lamiaceae. The record is from RNAcentral.